UACUCCCCACUACCUAAAAUCCCUAAAUCGUUCUCCUUUCUUUGUACUCCUCUCCUUUAUACUAUCUCCUAAAAAUCCUAAAUCUUCUCCUGUACUCCUCUUCUCCCUUCUGAUCUAACGUGCAGAGAGUGAAAGUAACGAUUUGUAGUGAGAGAAAUCCCAGAAAUCGAACUCCGGCGAAAAUCCGAAUCUCCGGCGAACCAGGUCUGAGUUAUGGUGAAAAUCCGAAUCUCCAGAGGAAGAUGGUGACGGUGGUGAUGACCUAAAGAGGAACGAUGACAGCGGUGAUGGCCUAAGAGGAGUUGUGAGUUAUUUCUUUUCGUAUGUGUUGAUUUGUUUGUGUUUUGAUAUUGCUAGAUGAAGGUUGAGAUAUUACUGUGUGUGAUUGUGGUUGAUUUGUUGUGUUUUUGGAGUAGAUUAGGGUUUAUGUGAGUUUUAAUGUUAACUUUGUUAGUUUAUUUCAUUUUACCGGCAUUGAGUUUGUAAAUGCAGAGAGUUUAGAAUGGAUAUGAGAUUUCUUAUGUGUUGUAGGUGAUUUGUUAAUGUUGUAUGUGUUUGGGGUAUCUCAUUCUGGUUAUGAAUAAAGUAAUAAAGCUAAAGACGCCUGUUAGAAAGUUAGUUUUAGUUUCCAUCUUCUUGGAUGGUGGUUGAUGAAUAUAAUAAAUUUAGUAAUGUUUUGGUCUUAAAGUAUAUAGAUCUGAGGAUUUGAUCAUAUUGUUUGUCUGUCCUUUUUGGUAUGGAUUAUACUUUUAUAUAAGCUACGUAUAGCUUUUUGCAUUUAUAUUUGUAUUUUUGUUGACAUCUUUGAUUCGACAUUAUGUUAACAAUUUAAUGUCUUUGGCUCUUUGCAUGUUUGAUCUACACUCACUUUUCAAAGGUUUUUCUUCGGUUCAUAUAUAUAUGCUGGAAUUUUACAUCAGGUAGGAAAUUUUACAUCUCCAGGUGGAUAGGUAACGUGUCGUUCGGAGGGGAUAGGUAAUGGGUCAAAAUGGAAAGAGUUUAGGGUAUAGGGAGUGGUUAAACACUUUAAAGUGGCAAACCAAAAAACCGACCAAUGAGAGCGCGCCAU
This is a long non-coding RNA of Helianthus annuus (common sunflower), 1069 nucleotides long. RefSeq lists it as uncharacterized. The record is from RefSeq and is a predicted model, not a curated record. The transcript has 3 exons. Lineage: Eukaryota; Viridiplantae; Streptophyta; Magnoliopsida; Asterales; Asteraceae.